Molecule: long non-coding RNA, 1533 nt
Organism: Gasterosteus aculeatus aculeatus (three-spined stickleback)
Lineage: Eukaryota; Metazoa; Chordata; Actinopteri; Perciformes; Gasterosteidae
Source: Ensembl
CAUACAUGGUGAAAGAGGAUUUCCUUUUUGUUAUUUCAGAGCUUUGAAGUGACUGGGACAAAUCCAUACAGCCAACCGUAUUUGGACUACGAACAAAAAAAAGUGUGACGACCUUUUAGCACUACAAGCUAGUAAUACAUGUACAUCUCUGCUGUAAUGUGUACUUUUAUUCUUCCCCAAUGCUACAGAUAUCUGAGGAACGCAUCCACAUCUUAAUGACCAAUGAGGACGUCUGCACCCUCACUAACCACCUCAAAGAGGUCUACAAUAAAGUGGAGGCAAAGGAAAAGGUGCGAAAGAGAAAACGUACAAAAGGGGGAGGAUGACGACAGCUUUGCAGUGGGGGACAAAGUUUUGCGAAAAAAUAUUCGGGGAGAGCAAAGAAAAGGGAAACCGACUUGGGUCGAUACACAGUGAUCCAUGUAGAAGGAAAAAGUGCUGACCUGAUGACUCUACAGGGCGAAAAGGUUUGCAAAAUGAACAUUCUCCAUCUGAAGAGGUACGUGGAAUAAUGGAUUGCUGCCACUUCUCCUCCAGCCCCGUAAGGUGUUUGGGGGUUCCCCAAUCCCAGUCUGUACCCCCAAAAUCAGACUCCUUGACCUCCAGUCUCCCGUCAUGGCCUGCACCCGCCUCCCCAGAGGAAUGCAAGUAUAAACCUCAAUACACGUUCAAUAUUAGGACGGUUUGGUCAUCAAAGCCCAAAUGAGGCCUCGGUAAACAACGCUCUUCUAAUCUCAGUGAUAGCUGACAUGUGGGCGAGACAACGUCAAGGUGUGCUGUGGAGCAAAGUGGGGCCUUCAACAUUUGGCCCCCGGGAGGCAGCCGGAGAGUGAGGUACAUGAAAUGCAUGAUGUCUUUCAUUUGUUAAGGCACAAAAAGUAACCACCCACAAUUGUCAUUUAAGGUUUUAAAUGAUUCAUGCAUACAAUUGUAAAGCAGCAACAAGAAGAAACAAAGACAAUUGUGUCUCAUUGACUCGUUCCAAAUGUCCACAUGUGGCAAAGAUCAUUCAGAGGAUUGAAAAAGGAAAACCUUUUGAAAUCUGUUUAGACACGAUUAUGGAUUCAAGCUGCAUUGUCAAUCAUCAUGACAUGUUUUCAGCUUGACCUCCGAGCACCAGUUUGCAACAAACAGCACUGGACACUUGUGGUGAGAAUACAUUUUAUAAAACCUUGUGUAGCAGUGUUCAGUCUUGUGUGCUAAUCUAGCUAACUGAAUGUGAUCAUUAAUCCUCCGUACUUUCAUUUAAAUGUAUUGUGAAGGUAAUUGAUCCAAAGGAGAAGCGGGUGCUUUACCUUGAUCCUUUAGGUGAAACUCCGGAUCACCUAAAUAAAUGCAAGGAUGUGACAAGAAAAGCUACAAAUGGGAAGUUAAUGUCAUUUUCUUUGAUACAAAGCAAUAUAUAUAGUUUUGUUUUGGAAAUGUCCAUAUUUCUCAGUGGACUAGUUGUAAACUAAGCCAUCCAAAACAACAGGACUCAACUGUGGGACACUUGUCUGCAAGGUAAGAGUGCAACUGACCUUUGUUGAAUUC